ACGCUACUCCCCCCGUUCGGAAUUACUUGUCUCGGAAAUGGAUGUAUCUAGAAACUCUAGAUACAUCCAUUUCCGAGACAAGUAAUUCCGAACGGGGGGAGUAGCGU
This is a non-coding RNA of Triticum aestivum (bread wheat), 107 nucleotides long. Lineage: Eukaryota; Viridiplantae; Streptophyta; Magnoliopsida; Poales; Poaceae. The record is from Rfam.